RNAcentral lists this ribosomal RNA (574 nucleotides) under Austroglycyphagus geniculatus. RNAcentral's name for it is "SSU rRNA". It matches the Rfam family "Eukaryotic small subunit ribosomal RNA", at positions 1095 to 1686 of the family's 1831-position model. Lineage: Eukaryota; Metazoa; Arthropoda; Arachnida; Sarcoptiformes; Glycyphagidae. The record is from RNAcentral.
AAACCAAAGUUUUUCGGUUCCAGGGGAAGUAUGGUUGCAAAGCUGAAACUUAAAGGAAUUGACGGAAGGGCACCACCAGGAGUGGAGCCUGCGGCUUAAUUUGACUCAACACGGGGAAACUCACCCGGCCCGGACACUGGAAGGAUUGACAGAUUGAGAGCUCUUUCUUGAUUCAGUGGGUGGUGGUGCAUGGCCGUUCUUAGUUGGUGGAGUGAUUUGUCUGGUUAAUUCCGAUAACGAACGAGACUCUAGCCUACUAAAUAGACCUUGACAUUUUUAAUACUGGCAAGGUGCUUCUUAGAGGGACAAACGGCGUUUCAGCCGUAUGAGAAAGAGCAAUAACAGGUCUGUGAUGCCCUUAGAUGUCCGGGGCCGCACGCGCGCUACACUGAAGAGAUCAACGCGCAUGUACUUCCUGUUCCGAAAGGAAUGGGGAACCGAGUGAACCUUUUUCGUGCUUGGGAUUGGGGAUUGCAAUUAUUGUCCAUGAACGAGGAAUUCCCAGUAAGCACAAGUCAUCAGCUUGUGUUGAUUACGUCCCUGCCCUUUGUACACACCGCCCGUCGCUACUACC